Molecule: ribosomal RNA, 453 nt
Filed under: Triticum aestivum (bread wheat)
Lineage: Eukaryota; Viridiplantae; Streptophyta; Magnoliopsida; Poales; Poaceae
Description: partial small subunit ribosomal RNA
Source: RNAcentral
AUGUUGCAGGAGGAUGGGGGUAUUGAUGAAGAUGCGAACCAUCGAAUCAAAGCCAGAUGGAUGAAGUCGCGCCAAGCUUCUGGCAUUCUCUGUGACAAGAGAGUGCCACAAAAGCUAAAAGGCAAGUUCUACAGGACGGCGGUUCGACCCGCAAUGUUGUAUGGUGCGGAGUGUUGGCCGACUAAAAGGCGACAUGUUCAACAGUUAGGUGUGGCGGAGAUGCAUAUGUUGAGAUGGAUGUGUGGCCGCACGAGGAAGGAUCGAGUCCGGAAUGAUGAUAUAAGAGAUAGAGUUGGGGUAGCACCAAUUGAGGAGAAGCUUGUCCAACAUCGUCUGAGAUGGUUUGGGCAUAUUCAGCGCAGGCCUCCAGAAGCUCCAGUGCAUAGCGGACGGCUAAAGGGUGCGGAGAAUGUCAAGAGAGGGCUGGGUCGACCGAAUUUGACAUGGGAGUAG